This 568-nucleotide small RNA is filed under the name Pongo abelii (Sumatran orangutan). Its description in RNAcentral is "retained intron". Lineage: Eukaryota; Metazoa; Chordata; Mammalia; Primates; Hominidae. The record is from RNAcentral.
GCUCUGCGCUGAGGUGCUGGGACAGCCAUGAUUUCAGACGAAGAUGAAUUGAAUCUUCUGGUUAUUGUAGUUGAUGCCAACCCAAUUUGGUGGGGAAAGCAAGCAUUAAAGGAAUCUCAGUUCACUUUAUCCAAAUGCAUAGAUGCUGUGAUGGUGCUGGGAAAUUCGCAUUUAUUCAUGAAUCGUUCCAACAAACUUGCUGUGAUAGCAAGUCACAUUCAAGAAAGCCGAUUCUUAUAUCCUGGAAAGAAUGGCAGACUUGGAGACUUCUUCGGAGACCCAGGCAACCCUCCUGAAUUUAAUCCCUCUGGAAGUAAAGAUGGAAAAUACGAACUUUUAACCUCAGCAAAUGAAGUUAUUGUUGAAGAGAUUAAAGAUCUAAUGACCAAAAGUGACAUAAAGGGUCAACAUACAGAAACUUUGCUGGCAGGAUCCCUGGCCAAAGCCCUUUGCUAAAUUAAGACAUUCAUAGAAUGAACAAGGAAAUUAAAGAUAAUCAGGAAAUGAAAUCAAGGAUAUUGGUGAUUAAGGCUGCAGAAGACAGUGCGUUGCAGUAUAUGAACUUCAU